Molecule: long non-coding RNA, 898 nt
Filed under: Cricetulus griseus (Chinese hamster)
Lineage: Eukaryota; Metazoa; Chordata; Mammalia; Rodentia; Cricetidae
Description: lncRNA (ENSCGRG00015038459.1)
Source: RNAcentral
AAAUAACACUGGGAAAUAUUCCAAAAUUUAGGAAAAACUAAACAAUGUGUAUGAAUCAACUCUUGGAUCAAACCCAGAGAAGUACAUGUGUUGGGCAUGUGCUCUGCUACUGAGCCAUACACACACACACACACACACACACACACACACACACACACACACAGCCCUGUAAAACAGACUUAAAAAUUCUUUCAAUGUAGUACCACCCUCCUAUUAAAAAAAAUCAUCAAGAGGGAGAGGGGGAGAUGAAAAUUAAAAAUACAUUCCCUACAUCAAAAGAAGAUGUAGCUACAAGAUCAGCUCCACAGAAAGAAGCAAGGUCUCUGGAUGCCAUUUGGUUGCUGAAGAGUCCUUACCCCAGUCUCCCCGUUUCACCUGCCUGGCACCUGUCCCACUCCCUGGCAUCCCACUGACACUGUCCUGAAACACCAGGGAACAAACAUCUGCUGCAAAGACUUCUGGAAGAUGCCAGUCUGCUGUUUGUGAAGGUGCCUCUCCUGAGCUCCAUCUGACUUAUGUUCCAGAUGCUAAACAAACAUCACAGGAAGAGACCAGGGAGCAACUUAGUGGCGAAGUGCUUGCCUUUUGGUCCUGGUUUCCUAGCUCUGAAAAAAAAAAAUCUAGGAGGCCAGGCUUUAGAUAAGGCUUCUGCACUGAAUCCUGACAGAGCAGGAUAAAAAUUAAAAUAGAAUCGAAUAUGCUCAAAUUCCUGGUCACUUACCUGCAGUGAAAUGGUCUGGCUUUCUAAGAGAUCAGGGUUAGAUAAUUCUGCUGUCUUCAUCCUUACACUGUGGAAGUGACUCACAUGACCCGAUGGCAGUUAAUCAGCUAACUUCCUACUGUUCUGUGACCUCUGGGUUACAAGGAACACAAUUUUGAAGUAACUAGCUCAGCUCCU